RNAcentral lists this unclassified non-coding RNA (192 nucleotides) under Glomeraceae sp. RNAcentral's name for it is "partial contains 5.8S ribosomal RNA and internal transcribed spacer 2". The stretch from base 1 to 71 matches the Rfam family "5.8S ribosomal RNA", at positions 84 to 154 of the family's 154-position model. The record is from RNAcentral. Lineage: Eukaryota; Fungi; Glomeromycota; Glomeromycetes; Glomerales; Glomeraceae.
GUGAAUCAUCAAAUCUUUGAACGCAAAUUGCACUCUCUGGUAUUCCGGAGAGUAUGCCUGUUUGAGGGUCAGUUUAAAUAAAAAUCGGUGUGGUUGCUGCAUUUAGUGGUGACGCACCGGAUUUGGGUCGUCUUGCCUUCGGUUAAGCGACCUAGGAUUUUGCUUGUUUUUUUCGAACGGAUUUAAAUGGAU